This 228-nucleotide ribosomal RNA is filed under the name uncultured bacterium. RNAcentral's name for it is "partial 16S ribosomal RNA". It matches the Rfam family "Bacterial small subunit ribosomal RNA", at positions 568 to 795 of the family's 1533-position model. The record is from RNAcentral.
UCCGUAGGUGGAUCAAUCAGUCAGAGGUGAAAUCCUGCAGCUUAACUGUAGAACUGCCUUUGAUACUGUUGAUCUUGAGUCAUUAUGAAGUGGUUAGAAUGUGUAGUGUAGCGGUGAAAUGCAUAGAUAUUACACAGAAUACCGAUUGCGAAGGCAGAUCACUAAUAAUGUACUGACACUGAGGGAAGAAAGCGUGGGGAGCGAACAGGAUUAGAUACCCUGGUAGUC